This 646-nucleotide ribosomal RNA is filed under the name Gephyrocapsa oceanica. Its description in RNAcentral is "partial Bacterial small subunit ribosomal RNA". It matches the Rfam family "Bacterial small subunit ribosomal RNA", at positions 121 to 801 of the family's 1533-position model. Lineage: Eukaryota; Haptophyta; Isochrysidales; Noelaerhabdaceae. The record is from RNAcentral.
GGAACGUGCCCUUCACUGCGGAAUAGCCACUGGAAACGGUGAGUAAUACCGCAUACGCCCUUCGGGGGAAAGAUUUAUCGGUGAAGGAUCGGCCCGCGUUAGAUUAGAUAGUUGGUGGGGUAACGGCCUACCAAGUCUACGAUCUAUAGCUGGUUUUAGAGGAUGAUCAGCAACACUGGGACUGAGACACGGCCCAGACUCCUACGGGAGGCAGCAGUGGGGAAUAUUGGACAAUGGGCGAAAGCCUGAUCCAGCAAUGCCGCGUGAGUGAUGAAGGCCUUAGGGUUGUAAAGCUCUUUCGCACGCGACGAUAAUGACGGUAGCGUGAGAAGAAGCCCCGGCUAACUUCGUGCCAGCAGCCGCGGUAAUACGAAGGGGGCUAGCGUUGUUCGGAAUCACUGGGCGUAAAGGGUGCGUAGGCGGGAUCUUAAGUCAGGGGUGAAAUCCCGAGGCUCAACCUCGGAACUGCCUUUGAUACUGGGGUCCUUGAGUCCGGAAGAGGUGAGUGGAACUGCGAGUGUAGAGGUGAAAUUCGUAGAUAUUCGCAAGAACACCGGUGGCGAAGGCGGCUCACUGGUCCGGAACUGACGCUGAGGCACGACAGCGUGGGGAGCAAACAGGAUUAGUUACCCUGGUAGUCCACGCC